Molecule: ribosomal RNA, 465 nt
Filed under: uncultured bacterium
Lineage: Bacteria
Description: partial 16S ribosomal RNA
Rfam family: Bacterial small subunit ribosomal RNA
Source: RNAcentral
GACGAACGCUGGCGGCGUGCUUAACACAUGCAAGUCGAACGGAAAGGCCCUGCUUGCAGGGUAUUCGAGUGGCGAAAGGGUGAGUAACACGUGGGUGAUCUGCCCUGUACUUCGGGAUAAGCCUGGAGAACUGGGUCUAAUACCGGAUAGGAGCCAUUCUUAGUGUGAUGGUGGGAUGGUUUUUUCGGUGUAGGAUGAGCUCGCGGCCUAUCAGCUUGGUGGUGGGGUAAUGGCCUACCAAGGGGGCGAAGGGCAGGCGGCCGGAGAGGGUGGACGGCCACCAUGGGGAUUGGAUUCGGCCCAGGCUCCUAAGGGGGGCAAGAGGGGGGAAUAUUGCACCAUGGGGGGGAGGCUGAUGCAGCGACGCCGGGGGGGGGAUUGCGGGCUUCGGGUUGUAAACUCGUUUCGCUAUGGGCGAAGGUGUUUGUGACGGUAACUAGAAAAGAAGCACCGGCUAACUACGUG